Molecule: ribosomal RNA, 2658 nt
Filed under: Triticum aestivum (bread wheat)
Lineage: Eukaryota; Viridiplantae; Streptophyta; Magnoliopsida; Poales; Poaceae
Description: partial small subunit ribosomal RNA
Source: RNAcentral
AUGAGCUGCCGCGCGGCUCCAUGGGGCCGCCCGUCGGCCCCCCGCGGCCGGCCCUUCCCCGCCUCGGCGCGCCUCCGCGGCCCGUUCGGGGGUACGAAUUCGUGGAAGAAUCCAGUCCUCAAAAACUCGUGGAGAAUCGGUGAUGUCCCGGCAAUGUUUGGGCUGCCGUCUGGACUGUUCAGAUGCAUGGCUUCAAGUAGCUCCGGGGAUGGUGGGUUCUCUCGUCCUCAAUCAAUUGAUGAAGCACCGAUUCCGCUGUACCCCUGGCCGGACAAGCAGCGGCCACGAGUAUGCAUUUUGGGUGGUGGAUUUGGUGGGCUGUAUACUGCUCUGAGACUAGAAUCUCUUGUAUGGCCUGGUAAUAACAAGCCUCAGGUGAUGCUGGUUGAUCAAUCUGAAAGAUUUGUAUUUAAGCCCAUGUUGUAUGAGCUCUUAUCAGGAGAGGUGGAUGUCUGGGAAAUAGCUCCGUAUUUUACAGAGCUACUGAAGAACACUAGUGUUCAAUUUGUGAAGGAUAGUGUAAAGCUUCUUCGCCCUUCUGAUCACUUAAGAAGAGAGCCUGGAGUAUCAUGCACUGGUGGAGUUGUUCAUCUUGAAAGUGGCACCGUUGUUGAAUAUGAUUGGCUCGUUCUAGCUCUAGGGGCUGAAGCUAAGAUUGACGUCGUUCCAGGAUCUGCCGAAUAUGCACUUCCUUUCACAACUUUGGAACAUGCUUUGAAAGUUGAAAGUGAAUUGAAAAUGUUAGAAAGGAGAAAGUUUGGUAAGAAGUCCCCACCUAUUCAGGUGGCCAUUGUGGGACUGGGUUACUCUGGUGUUGAGCUAGCUGCCACUAUCUCUGAGAGAUUAAAGAACACAGGGACUGUCAAAGCAAUCAAUUUUCAAACAACCAUCUGUCCUAACGCACCACCAGGAAAUCGUGAAGCUGCUCUGAAGGUUCUUGAGUCUCAAAAUAUCCAACUUUUCUUGGGAUAUUCGGUGAACUGCAUCAGAGAGGUUUAUGCAUCUGAGGAUUCAGGUAGCAUGGUUGCAGAUGCAAAAGAAGCUGGUGGUGGCGAUAAGAAACUAGUUUUGGAACUUCAAGCCGCUCAAAGAGGCCUCCAGAGCCAGGUUCUGGAAGCUGAUCUGGUAUUAUGGACAGUGGGUUCACAAUCUCAGAUUCUUCGGUUACAACCUCCUGAUGCCCCAUACGUUAUUCCUUUGAAUGGCCGGGGGCAAGUAGAGACAGAGGAAACCCUUCAAGUAAAGGGCCAUCCCCGGACAUUUGCAAUUGGUGAUUCAGCAGCUCUAAGAGACCCAUCAGGAAAAUUUCUCCCAGCCAACGCACAGGUUGCUUUUCAGCAAGCAGAUUUCGCUGGUUGGAAUCUCUGGGCGGCAAUCAAUGACCGGCCCCUUUUGCCGUUCAGGUUCCAAAAUCUUGGUGAGAUGAUGACACUGGGUAGAAACGAUGCCGCGAUAACAGCAAACUUCAUCGAGGGACUGACCUUGGAAGGGCCCAUAGGGCAUGCUGCUAGGAAGCUAGUGUACUGCCUCAGGAUGCCCACUGAUGAGCACCGGGUGAAGGUUGGAGUCAGUUGGUUGGCAAAGGGCGCUGUCGAUUCGCUCGCCUCUCUGCAGAACGCAGUGGCCACCGCACUUUCCCCUCCCACCGCUCCCCCCACCACCGCCGCCGACGCCAACGCCACCAACCGCCGCGCCAUGGAUCCCGACUCCGAGAUCGCCUUCGACUUCCCGCCCUACCUCUGCCAGUACAAGAGCGGCCGCGUGCACCGCCCGGGCGGCGACGCCUUCGCCCCCGCCGGCACCGACCCGCUCACCGGCGUCGUCUCCAAGGACAUCCACGCCGGCCCCGCCCGCGCGCGCGUCUACCUCCCGCCCGACGCCUCCUCCGCCGCGGCCCCCGGCAAGCUCCCCGUCGUCGUCUACUUCCACGGCGGCGGCUUCGUGGUCGGCUCCCCGGCCCGCCCCUCCACCCACGCCUACCUCAACGACCUCGUCGCCCGCUCCGGCGCCGUCGGCGUGUCCGUCUACUACCGCCUCGCCCCCGAGCACCCGCUCCCCGCCGCCUACGACGACGGCUGGGCGGCCGUGCGCUGGGUCCUCACCGGCGGGGACGGCGCCGACCCCUGGCUGCUCGACCACGCCGACCUCUCCCGCGUCUUCCUCUCCGGCUGCAGCGCCGGCGCCAACAUCGCGCACAACAUGGCCGUCCGCGCCGCCGCGCCCGGCGCGCUGCCCGAGGGCGCCGCCGUCCGGGGCCUCAUGGCCGUGCACCCCUACUUCACGGGCAAGGAGCCCGUGGGCGCGGAGGCCGCGUUCGGCCCCGACGUGCGCGACUUCAUGGACCGCACCUGGCGCUUCGUGUUCCCGGGCUCGCUCGGCCUGGACGACCCCAACGUGAACCCGUUCGUGACCGACGAGGCGCGCGCCGCCGUGGCCGGGAUCCCGUGCGAGCGCGUGCUGGUGUGCGUGGCCGAGGACGACGUCCUGCUCAAGGAGCGCGGCCUGUGGUACGCCCGCGAGCUCAAGGCCAGCGGCUACGCCGGCGAGAUCGAGAUGUUCGAGUCCAAGGGCGUCGGCCACGCCUUCCACUUCGACCAGCUGGGCUCCGGGGAGGGCGUCAAGCUGCAGGAGCGCCUGGUGAAAUUCAUCAAGAAAUGA